Molecule: non-coding RNA, 396 nt
Organism: Cyanistes caeruleus (blue tit)
Lineage: Eukaryota; Metazoa; Chordata; Aves; Passeriformes; Paridae
Source: RefSeq, a predicted model, not a curated record
GCCAUGGCUGGAGAAAAGAAUGAACACAAAGUAAACCACAGCAAAACAGAUCUUUUAGAGCAUUAUAUAAGGGCAACAACUCAAAGUCUUUGAGGUGAUGGCAGGCUGGGCAUCAGUUUGCAAAUAGGAGAUGGCACUCAUCUUCAUCACCAAACCUAACCUGACAGAUGGGCUGAAAGCCCAGAGGCUGAUCCAGGCAAGACCAAACAUCUGGAAUCUUUUGUCAGGUAGCUUCUCCUCUCACACUUUAGGGUAAAUUUGUUCAAUAUCCUUUAGCAUCUGAUUAAAGAGAAAAAAAACAAAAAAAAACAAGAUAAAAACCCUGAAGAGACUUUACAAUACCUGACUUCUUAAACUGAGCUUUGAAAUGUGAAUAAAUCUUCACCUCUGAAAUCA